Marmota monax (woodchuck) is the source of this 1313-nucleotide long non-coding RNA. RefSeq lists it as uncharacterized. The record is from RefSeq and is a predicted model, not a curated record. Lineage: Eukaryota; Metazoa; Chordata; Mammalia; Rodentia; Sciuridae. The transcript has 2 exons.
GCCUCCGCAGACGGGGCGGGGCCUGCCGAGAGGCCGCGAGAGCCGCCAGUCACGCGCUCCCCGUCCUCUCAUUGGCUACGUCCCUGUCGUUCGCCCAACCUUCUUCUUUCCUCGCCAGUCGCGAGAGGAGGGCGGGAUGUCGCCAUUUUGGCUUCCCGUUCCCCGCCUGUCCUCUGCCACCGUGGUUUGGGCGGCGGCGCGCUGGCCCGGAGUUGAGUUGCGCGAGAGAAGUGGGACCCUGACUGUGAAGAAGAAGAUUAAUUCGUCCACUAUAUAAUCCUGCAGGCAAGAGAAGGAAGAACCAGUGCAGAUUACAGAGCUCACUUAGAAUCACAGUGAAGCAUCUGGACUCAAAAUAUAUCAAAGACCAUUUCCUGCCAUAACUAAAAUGCCAGAAAAACCAGGCAGCCAUAAACCCUGUCGGGAGAGAAUGGACUGUUACAACUAUGACUUUCCAGUUAUUUUUCCAGCAAUUUCUACAGGGAACAGGGACCAAAGGAUCUGUAAUUGGUCCAGUAGAAGACUUCAGAAGGAAAGCAAAGGACUUUAGGGAUCUGGUAUGGCAUGGGAGACUCACUGAAAUAACCCUUGGGAUUAUCUUUGUGCUUCUUAACCAAUGUACUACAUGCCAACUUGACAGCUGCAGAAGUCAAAAGGUGAUCUGCCUGCAUCAUGUCUGAGAUGAGCACCACCACAAUUACUUUAUCCCCCAAGAAACUGCAGAGGAUAGAACAGAAAUAACACAAAUUGAAGUUGUAGCAAUUUGCAAGUUUGAAUAUGAUGUACUAUUUGGUGUAGCAAUUGGUUCUUCUGCAAAAAUAAGAAGCAGUGUCAAACAAGUCCAGAAGAGAUUUAACGCAUUUGUGACAUCUAUUGAAAAUCAGAUCUUAAGGAUUCUGCCAGUUUAUUAAUUGGUAUGUGUUCCAUCCUAUUACCAGUUGGCUCAGCAAUCAAUCAUGAGUUAGCUAAUUUGUAUAUGGAAUAGUAAAUAAAAGUUUCACCUAAGAAGUAGUUAAUUGAGCAUACAUGGAUGGUUUCCAUUUAUAUCCAAGCAACUACAUGUAACACUAUCUGACAUAAACAAUUCAUGAAUAGUACAGUUUUACUUCAUCCUGUUGCCAAUGAAAUUUCUGCUUUCUUGAAGGCUUCAGAAAAUGUCAAAAACAAAUUGGAGGGCUGGGGUUGUGGCUCAGAAGUAGAGUGCUCGCCUACCAUGCGUGAGGCACUGGGUUCAAUCCUUAGGACCACAUAAAAAUAAAAUAAAGACAUUGUGUCAACCUAUAAUUAAAAAUAAAUAUUUUUUAAAAAAUGGA